Molecule: long non-coding RNA, 232 nt
Organism: Acanthochromis polyacanthus (spiny chromis)
Lineage: Eukaryota; Metazoa; Chordata; Actinopteri; Pomacentridae
Exons: 3
Source: RefSeq, a predicted model, not a curated record
UCCAGUUGUCAGUAGGUCUGCUCUAGAACUUUCUCCAGUUGUCAGUAGGUCUACUCUAGAACUUUCCCCAGGUGCCAGUAGGUCUACCUCAGAACUUUCUCCAGGUGCCGGUUGGUCUACUGUAGAACUUUCUCCAGUUGUCAGUAGGUCUACUCUAGAACUUUCUCCAGUUGUCAGUAGGUCUACUCUAGAACUUUCUCCAGUUGUCAGUAGGUCUACUCUAGAACUUUCC